This 465-nucleotide ribosomal RNA is filed under the name Vreelandella stevensii. RNAcentral describes it as "partial 16S ribosomal RNA". It matches the Rfam family "Bacterial small subunit ribosomal RNA", at positions 338 to 795 of the family's 1533-position model. The record is from RNAcentral. Lineage: Bacteria; Pseudomonadati; Pseudomonadota; Gammaproteobacteria; Oceanospirillales; Halomonadaceae.
CCUACGGGGGGCUGCAGUGGGGAAUAUUGGACAAUGGGCGAAAGCCUGAUCCAGCCAUGCCGCGUGUGUGAAGAAGGCCUUCGGGUUGUAAAGCACUUUCAGUGGGGAAGAAAGCCUUGGGGCUAAUACCCUCGAGGAAGGACAUCACCCACAGAAGAAGCACCGGCUAACUCCGUGCCAGCAGCCGCGGUAAUACGGAGGGUGCGAGCGUUAAUCGGAAUUACUGGGCGUAAAGCGCGCGUAGGCGGUCUGAUAAGCCGGUUGUGAAAGCCCCGGGCUCAACCUGGGAACGGCAUCCGGAACUGUCAGGCUAGAGUGCAGGAGAGGAAGGUAGAAUUCCCGGUGUAGCAGUGAAAUGCGUAGAGAUCGGGAGGAAUACCAGUGGCGAAGGCGGCCUUCUGGACUGACACUGACGCUGAGGUGCGAAAGCGUGGGUAGCAAACAGGAUUAGAUACCCCGGUAGUC